Molecule: long non-coding RNA, 630 nt
Filed under: Strigops habroptila (Kakapo)
Lineage: Eukaryota; Metazoa; Chordata; Aves; Psittaciformes; Psittacidae
Description: lncRNA (ENSSHBG00005002027.1)
Source: RNAcentral
CCUUGAUGUGCCUUUGGAUCCUUUAUUUUGCUAGCAGUUAUACAGUAGAGUCACUUCCUACAAAGGCGAAAUGGGGUUUCUUAGUGCUGCUAAUGUUCUUUUCUUUCCCUCCAGUAAUAACAGUGAGAAAUUAUUGUCUUUUAUAUGCAUCCAUGUGCAUGAGCAGGGAGUGUGAGCAUGUAUCCGUGCAGGAGAAGUUCUGUGCAACAUCUACAAGAUAUAAUUUUCUGCUAUUUCUGGCCCAGUUCCUUCCUCUACGCACUUCCUAGCACAACAAAAGGUCAGAGGCAGGUGUCGAGAUGGCACUGGUUUUUCUCAUUUAAUCUACAACUUCAGAUAUCUUACAGGCCCCACAAGAAAUCAGGAGGGAUGUCUUCUAGGGAAUAGCUGUGCUGGAGUCAUUUCAGUUGUGGGAAGUUGUUUCAGGCUUAGACUGUGGAGGAUGCUCACGUGCGGUAGAUGCCAUUCAAGGGGAUGCUGAGGAAUUAUUUGGAGAGAUAGAAAUCCACAAAACAAGGCUGGAGAACAGAGCAGGCCUGAAAGAAAAGUCAAGCGCUCCUUUUUCUGCCUAUCUCGUCCUCAAUGGUAAAAUAGGCUAAACAAAACAAGUGCACAUCAAGACAGAGCCAA